Molecule: ribosomal RNA, 429 nt
Filed under: Chloroflexota bacterium
Lineage: Bacteria; Bacillati; Chloroflexota
Description: Chloroflexi bacterium partial 16S ribosomal RNA
Rfam family: Bacterial small subunit ribosomal RNA
Source: RNAcentral
UGGGGAAUAUUGCACAAUGGGCGCAAGCCUGAUGCAGCCAUGCCGCGUGUGUGAAGAAGGCCUUCGGGUUGUAAAGCACUUUCAGCGGGGAGGAAGGCGAUAAGGUUAAUAACCUUGUCGAUUGACGUUACCCGCAGAAGAAGCACCGGCUAACUCCGUGCCAGCAGCCGCGGUAAUACGGAGGGUGCAAGCGUUAAUCGGAAUUACUGGGCGUGAAGCGCACGCAGGCGGUUUGUUAAGUCAGAUGUGAAAUCCCCGGGCUCAACCUGGGAACUGCAUCUGAUACUGGCAAGCUUGAGUCUCGUAGAGGGGGGUAGAAUUCCAGGUGUAGCGGUGAAAUGCGUAGAGAUCUGGAGGAAUACCGGUGGCGAAGGCGGCCCCCUGGACAAAGACUGACGCUCAGGUGCGAAUGCGUGGGGAGCAAACAGG